Molecule: ribosomal RNA, 406 nt
Filed under: uncultured bacterium
Lineage: Bacteria
Description: partial 16S ribosomal RNA
Rfam family: Bacterial small subunit ribosomal RNA
Source: RNAcentral
AUUGAACGCUAGCGGCAUGCCUUACACAUGCAAGUCGCGCGAGCGGCGGACGGGUGCGUAAUGUAUGGGGAUCUGCCCGAUGGAGGGGGAUAACUACUGGAAACAGUAGCUAAUACCGCAUACUAUUAGAUCACCCCAUAUGGGAUUAGCUUGUAGGUUGGGUAACGGCUCACCUAGGCCACGAUCCCUAGCUGGUCUGAGAGGACGAUCAGCCACACUGGGACUGAGACACGGCCCAGACUCCUACGGGAGGCAGCAGUGGGGAAUAUUGCACAAUGGGCGAAAGCCUGAUGCAGCCAUGCCGCGUGUAUGAAGAAGGCCUUCGGGUUGUAAAGUACUUUCAGUCGGGAGGCGUUACCGACAGAAGAAGCACCGGCUAACUCCGUGCCAGCCGCCGCGGUAAUAC